GCGCCACUAGCUCAGCUGGAUAGAGUACUUGGCUACGAACCAAGGGGUCGGGGGUUCGAAUCCCUCGUGGCGCGCCA
This 77-nucleotide transfer RNA is filed under the name Ruminiclostridium sp. Its description in RNAcentral is "tRNA-Arg". It matches the Rfam family "tRNA". From Rfam's summary of the family: Transfer RNA (tRNA) molecules are approximately 80 nucleotides in length. Their secondary structure includes four short double-helical elements and three loops (D, anti-codon, and T loops). The record is from RNAcentral. Lineage: Bacteria; Bacillati; Bacillota; Clostridia; Eubacteriales; Oscillospiraceae. RNAcentral also lists the same sequence under 1 other name.